RNAcentral lists this microRNA precursor (103 nucleotides) under Marmota monax (woodchuck). The record is from RNAcentral. Lineage: Eukaryota; Metazoa; Chordata; Mammalia; Rodentia; Sciuridae.
AAUGGGAUAGCUGGGUCAAAUGGUGGUUCCAUUCCCAAUUUUCCAAGAAAUCUCCAUACUGCUUUCCAGAUUGGCUGCACCAAUUUGCAGCCCAACCAGCAAU